GAAAGGGUGAGGAGCAAACGGGAUUAGAUACCCCGGUAGUCCACGCCGUAAACUAUGGAUGCUAGCUGUUAGAGGUAUCGACCCCUCUAGUAGCGAAGCUAACGCGUUAAGCAUCCCGCCUGUGGAGUACGGUCGCAAGACUAAAACAUAAAGGAAUUGACGGGGAGCCGCACAAGCGGUGGAGUGUGUUGUUUAAUUCGAUGGUAAGCGAAGAACCUUACCCAGGCUUGACAUCCUUGGAAGUUCUGUGAAAGCAGAGUGUGCCUUCGGGAACCAAGUGACAGGUGUUGCAUGGCCGUCGUCAGCUCGUGUCGUGAGAUGUUAGGUUAAGUCCUUCAACGAGCGCAACCCUUAUAGUUAGUUGUAUUUUUCUAGCUAGACUGCCCUGGCAACAGGGAGGAAGGAGGGGAUGAUGUCAGGUCAGUAUUACCCUUACGUCUGGGGCUACAAACACACUACAAUGGCCAGUACAAUGGGCAGCCAAGUCGUGAGACGGAGCAAAUCCCAUCAAAGCUGGUCCCAGUUCGGAUUGCAGGCUGAAACUCGCCUGCAUGAAGUUGGAAUCGCUAGUAAUGGUAGGUCAGCAUACUACCGUGAAUACGUUCCCGGCUCUUGUACACACCGCCCGUCAAACCAUGAAAGUCGCCAAUACCUGACGUGUUAGCUUGUCUAGCCCUAAGGUAGGGGAGAUGAUUGGGGUUAAGUCGUAACAAGGUAGCCGU
Molecule: ribosomal RNA, 722 nt
Filed under: uncultured soil bacterium
Lineage: Bacteria
Description: bacterial SSU rRNA
Rfam family: Bacterial small subunit ribosomal RNA
Source: RNAcentral